ACAGCGGUGGAGUAUGUGGUUUAAUUCGAUGCAACGCGAAGAACCUUACCUGGUCUUGACAUCCCGGAGACCCUUAGGAAACUAGGGGUGCUUCCAUCUGGAAGAAUCUGGAGACAGGUGCUGCAUGGCUGUCGCCAGCUCGUGUCGUGAGAUGUUGGGUUAAGUCCCGCAACGAGCGCAACCCUUGCCUUUAGUUGCCAGCAGUUCGGCUGGGCACUCUAAAGGGACUGCCGGUGUUAAACCGGAGGAAGGUGGGGAUGACGUCAAGUCCUCAUGGCCUUUAUGACCAGGGCUACACACGUACUACAAUGGCCGAUACAAAGGGCAGCGACACUGCGAGGUGAAGCCAAUCCCGUAAAAUCGGUCUCAGUCCGGAUUGGAGUCUGCAACUCGACUCCAUGAAGUUGGAAUCGCUAGUAAUCGUGGAUCAGCAUGCCACGGUGAAUACGUUCCCGGGCCUU
RNAcentral lists this ribosomal RNA (461 nucleotides) under uncultured Desulfobulbus sp. RNAcentral's name for it is "bacterial SSU rRNA". It matches the Rfam family "Bacterial small subunit ribosomal RNA", at positions 925 to 1382 of the family's 1533-position model. The record is from RNAcentral. Lineage: Bacteria; Pseudomonadati; Thermodesulfobacteriota; Desulfobulbia; Desulfobulbales; Desulfobulbaceae.